ACUAAGUUGGGAGGUGCUGGUGAAACCAAGCUUUGAAAGGUUAAUCAGACCAGGGACCAACGCUAGUGUGAGUUGUAAGGGAUGGACACUGGUGAAGCUCCAGGCUAGGGUGGGCCAAGGGAGGCAGGCCUGCCAAUGACCCAUCUUCUUCCCUGCCUUCCCCAGCACAUGUUUUACGUGGGUCAGGAUUCAAGCCGCAGCGUGGCUUGCAUGGUGGACUCCAGCCUGGGUGUGUGGGUGACGUUGAAAGGUAGUGCCCACGUGUGUCUCUACCAUCCAGACACCUUUGAGCAGCUGGCAGAAGUAGACGUCACCCCUCCCGUGCACAGGAUGCUGGCAGGCUCGGAUGCCAUCAUCCGGCAGCACAAGGCUGCCUGUCUGCGAAUCACAGCGCUGCUGGUGUGUGAGGAGCUGCUGUGGGUGGGCACCAGUGCUGGUGUCGUCCUCACCAUGCCCACCUCGCCCGGUACUGUCAGCUGCCCACGGGCACCACUCAGUCCCACAGGCCUUGGCCAGGGACACACCGGCCACGUCCGCUUCUUGGCUGCAGUCCAGCUGCCAGAUGGCUUCAACCUGCUCUGCCCAACCCCACCACCUCCCCCAGACACAGGCCCCGAGAAGCUGCCAUCACUGGAGCACCGGGACUCCCCUCGGCACCGAGGCCCUGCCCCGGCCAGGCCUAAAAUGCUGGUUAUCAGUGGAGGUGAUGGCUAUGAGGACUUCCGGCUCAGCAGUGGGGGCGGCAGCAGCAGUGAGACUGUGGGUCGAGACGACAGCACAAACCACCUCCUCCUGUGGAGGGUGUGACCGUGUCUGCCGUGGCCCAGGACUUGCCCGCCCACCUGCCCUCAGCCUGCUUGCCUCUCCCUAGCCCACACGCAGACUUUGACCAGGAGUGUCCGGCCAGGGGCACACAUGUGCCUGCGUGGGCUCUGCCUUGUCUUCGCGGAAGCAUUCCUGAUGGAACACC
Molecule: small RNA, 970 nt
Filed under: Pongo abelii (Sumatran orangutan)
Lineage: Eukaryota; Metazoa; Chordata; Mammalia; Primates; Hominidae
Description: retained intron
Source: RNAcentral